Molecule: ribosomal RNA, 254 nt
Filed under: uncultured bacterium
Lineage: Bacteria
Description: partial 16S ribosomal RNA
Rfam family: Bacterial small subunit ribosomal RNA
Source: RNAcentral
UACGAAGGGGGCUAGCGUUGUUCGGAAUCACUGGGCGUAAAGCGCACGCAGGCGGAUCGUUAAGUCAGGGGUGAAAUGCCGAGGCUCAACCUCGGAACUGCCUUUGAUACUGGCGAUCUUAGAGUCCGGGAGAGGUGAGUGGAACUCCGAGUGUAGAGGUGAAAUUCGUAGAUAUUCGGAAGAACAUCAGUGGCGAAGGCGGCUCACUGGCCCGGUACUGACGCUCAGGUGCGAAAGCGUGGGGAGCAAACAGG